This 253-nucleotide ribosomal RNA is filed under the name uncultured bacterium. Its description in RNAcentral is "partial 16S ribosomal RNA". It matches the Rfam family "Bacterial small subunit ribosomal RNA", at positions 524 to 776 of the family's 1533-position model. The record is from RNAcentral.
GACGAACCGUGCGAACGUUGUUUGGAAUCACUGGGCAUAAAGGGCGCGUAGGCGGCUCUCAAAGUCAGGGGUGAAAUCCGGCAGCUUAACUGUCGAAGUGCCUUUGAUACUGGGGAGCUCGAGGGAGGUAGGGGUGUGUGGAACUUCCGGUGGAGCGGUGAAAUGCGUUGAUAUCGGAAGGAACGCCGGUGGCGAAAGCGACACACUGGACCUCUUCUGACGCUGAGGCGCGAAAGCUAGGGGAGCAAACGGG